RNAcentral lists this ribosomal RNA (492 nucleotides) under uncultured bacterium. RNAcentral describes it as "partial 16S ribosomal RNA". It matches the Rfam family "Bacterial small subunit ribosomal RNA", at positions 29 to 507 of the family's 1533-position model. The record is from RNAcentral.
AGUGAACGCUGGCGGUAGGCCUAACACAUGCAAGUCGAACGGCAGCACAGUAAGAGCUUGCUCUUACGGGUGGCGAGUGGCGGACGGGUGAGGAAUACAUCGGAAUCUACUUUUUCGUGGGGGAUAACGUAGGGAAACUUACGCUAAUACCGCAUACGACCUACGGGUGAAAGCAGGGGAUCUUCGGACCUUUCGCGAUUGAAUGAGCCGAUGUCGGAUUAGCUAGUUGGCGGGGUAAAGGCCCACCAAGGCGACGAUCCGUAGCUGGUCUGAGAGGAUGAUAAGCCACACUGGAACUGAGACACGGUCCAGACUCCUACGGGAGGCAGCAGUGGGGAAUAUUGGACAAUGGGCGCAAGCCUGAUCCAGCCAUACCGCGUGGGUGAAGAAGGCCCUCGGGUUGUAAAGCCCUUUUGUUGGGAAAGAAAAGCAGCAGGUUAAUACCCCGCUGUUCUGACGGUACCCAAAGAAUAAGCACCGGCUAACUUCGUG